GACAAACGCUGGCGGCGUACUUAAGACAUGCAAGUCGAACGGGUGUCCUGCUUUCGGGUGGGAUGCUAGUGGCGGAUGGGUGAGUAACGCGUAGGAACCUGUCGUUAAGUGGGGGAUACCGCUGGGAAACCGGCGCUAAUACCGCAUGUGGUCGAGCGAUCGAAGAAAGCAGCAAUGCGCUUGAUGAGGGGCCUGCGUCCGAUUAGCUAGUUGGUGGGGUAAAGGCCUACCAAGGCGCGAUCGGUAGCCUGGUCUGAGAGGAUGGUCAGCCACACUGGGACUGAGACACGGCCCAGACUCCUACGGGAGGCAGCAGUUA
RNAcentral lists this ribosomal RNA (319 nucleotides) under uncultured bacterium. Its description in RNAcentral is "bacterial SSU rRNA". It matches the Rfam family "Bacterial small subunit ribosomal RNA", at positions 28 to 357 of the family's 1533-position model. The record is from RNAcentral.